CCUACGGGGGGCUGCAGUGGGGAAUAUUGGACAAUGGGGGGAACCCUGAUCCAGCCAUGCCGCGUGUGUGAAGAAGGCCCUCGGGUUGUAAAGCACUUUCAGUGAGGAAGAACGCCUGGUGGUUAAUACCCAUCAGGAAAGACAUCACUCACAGAAGAAGCACCGGCUAACUCCGUGCCAGCAGCCGCGGUAAUACGGAGGGUGCGAGCGUUAAUCGGAAUUACUGGGCGUAAAGCGCGCGUAGGUGGCUUGAUAAGCCGGUUGUGAAAGCCCUGGGCUCAACCUGGGAACGGCAUCCGGAACUGUCAAGCUAGAGUGCAGGAGAGGAAGGUAGAAUUCCCGGUGUAGCGGUGAAAUGCGUAGAGAUCGGGAGGAAUACCAGUGGCGAAGGCGGCCUUCUGGACUGACACUGACACUGAGGUGCGAAAGCGUGGGUAGCAAACAGGAUUAGAUACCCGGGUAGUC
Molecule: ribosomal RNA, 465 nt
Filed under: Vreelandella stevensii
Lineage: Bacteria; Pseudomonadati; Pseudomonadota; Gammaproteobacteria; Oceanospirillales; Halomonadaceae
Description: partial 16S ribosomal RNA
Rfam family: Bacterial small subunit ribosomal RNA
Source: RNAcentral